Molecule: long non-coding RNA, 126 nt
Organism: Gavialis gangeticus (Gharial)
Lineage: Eukaryota; Metazoa; Chordata; Crocodylia; Gavialidae
Exons: 3
Source: RefSeq, a predicted model, not a curated record
CAGAGCAGGUCAUCUCUGAUCCUGUUGUGUGUGUUCUGCUCUGUGCAUUUAACACCUCAUAGGAGUAUAAUGGGCCCCCAAAGUUCACUGAGCAUUCUCCUUUGGGAGACACAGAACAGCACUUUU